AACUCUGGUAUUGAUUGGUGCUUGCAUCAUGAUUUACAUUUGAGUGAGUGGCGAACUGGUGAGUAACACGUGGGAAACCUGCCCAGAAGCGGGGGAUAACACCUGGAAACAGAUGCUAAUACCGCAUAACAACUUGGACCGCAUGGUCCGAGCUUGAAAGAUGGCUUCGGCUAUCACUUUUGGAUGGUCCCGCGGCGUAUUAGCUAGAUGGUGGGGUAACGGCUCACCAUGGCAAUGAUACGUAGCCGACCUGAGAGGGUAAUCGGCCACAUUGGGACUGAGACACGGCCCAAACUCCUACGGGAGGCAGCAGUAGGGAAUCUUCCACAAUGGACGAAAGUCUGAUGGAGCAACGCCGCGUGAGUGAAGAAGGGUUUCGGCUCGUAAAACUCUGUUGUUAAAGAAGAACAUAUCUGAGAGUAACUGUUCAGGUAUUGACGGUAUUUAACCAGAAAGCCACGGCUAACUACGUGCCAGCAGCCGCGGUAAUACGUAGGUGGCAAGCGUUGUCCGGAUUUAUUGGGCGUAAAGCGAGCGCAGGCGGUUUUUUAAGUCUGAUGUGAAAGCCUUCGGCUCAACCGAAGAAGUGCAUCGGAAACUGGGAAACUUGAGUGCAGAAGAGGACAGUGGAACUCCAUGUGUAGCGGUGAAAUGCGUAGAUAUAUGGAAGAACACCAGUGGCGAAGGCGGCUGUCUGGUCUGUAACUGACGCUGAGGCUCGAAAGUAUGGGUAGCAAACAGGAUUAGAUACCCUGGUAGUCCAUACCGUAAACGAUGAAUGCUAAGUGUUGGAGGGUUUCCGCCCUUCAGUGCUGCAGCUAACGCAUUAAGCAUUCCGCCUGGGGAGUACGGCCGCAAGGCUGAAACUCAAAGGAAUUGACGGGGGCCCGCACAAGCGGUGGAGCAUGUGGUUUAAUUCGAAGCUACGCGAAGAACCUUACCAGGUCUUGACAUACUAUGCAAAUCUAAGAGAUUAGACGUUCCCUUCGGGGACAUGGAUACAGGUGGUGCAUGGUUGUCGUCAGCUCGUGUCGUGAGAUGUUGGGUUAAGUCCCGCAACGAGCGCAACCCUUAUUAUCAGUUGCCAGCAUUAAGUUGGGCACUCUGGUGAGACUGCCGGUGACAAACCGGAGGAAGGUGGGGAUGACGUCAAAUCAUCAUGCCCCUUAUGACCUGGGCUACACACGUGCUACAAUGGAUGGUACAACGAGUUGCGAACUCGCGAGAGUAAGCUAAUCUCUUAAAGCCAUUCUCAGUUCGGAUUGUAGGCUGCAACUCGCCUACAUGAAGUCGGAAUCGCUAGUAAUCGCGGAUCAGCAUGCCGCGGUGAAUACGUUCCCGGGCCUUGUACACACCGCCCGUCACACCAUGAGAGUUUGUAACACCCAAAGUCGGUGGGGUAACCUUUUAGGAAC
Molecule: ribosomal RNA, 1415 nt
Filed under: Lactiplantibacillus plantarum
Lineage: Bacteria; Bacillati; Bacillota; Bacilli; Lactobacillales; Lactobacillaceae
Description: bacterial SSU rRNA
Rfam family: Bacterial small subunit ribosomal RNA
Source: RNAcentral